GACGAACGCUGGCGGCGUGCUUAACAAAUGCAAGUCGAACGGAAAGGCCCUGCUUUUGUGGGGUGCUCGAGUGGCGAACGGGUGAGUAACACGUGAGUAACCUGCCCUUGACUUUGGGAUAACUUCAGGAAACUGGGGCUAAUACCGGAUAGGAGCUCCUGCUGCAUGGUGGGGGUUGGAAAGUUUCGGCGGUUGGGGAUGGACUCGCGGCUUAUCAGCUUGUUGGUGGGGUAGUGGCUUACCAAGGCUUUGACGGGUAGCCGGCCUGAGAGGGUGACCGGCCACAUUGGGACUGAGAUACGGCCCAGACUCCUACGGGAGGCAGCAGUGGGGAAUAUUGCGCAAUGGGCGGAAGCCUGAUGCAGCAACGCCGCGUGCGGGAUGACGGCCUUCGGGUUGUAAACCGCUUUCGCCUGUGACGAAGCGUGAGUGACGGUAAUGGGUAAAGAAGCACCGGCUAACUACGUG
This 468-nucleotide ribosomal RNA is filed under the name uncultured bacterium. RNAcentral describes it as "partial 16S ribosomal RNA". It matches the Rfam family "Bacterial small subunit ribosomal RNA", at positions 28 to 507 of the family's 1533-position model. The record is from RNAcentral.